CCUACGGGAGGCAGCAGUGAGGAAUAUUGGUCAAUGGGCGAGAGCCUGAACCAGCCAAGUCGCGUGAGGGAGUACUGCCCUAUGGGUUGUAAACCUCUUUUGUCGGGGGGCAAAAGCCGGACGUGUCCGGCUGUGAGAGUACCCGAAGAAAAAGCAUCGGCUAACUCCGUGCCAGCAGCCGCGGUAAUACGGAGGAUGCGGGCGUUAUCCGGGUUUAUUGGGUUUAAAGGGUGCGCAGGCGGAUUUUUAAGUCAGCGGUAAAAUCGUGGGGCUCAACCCCAUCCAGCCGUUGAAACUGGGGAUCUAGAGUGUGCGAGAGGUAUGCGGAAUGCGUGGUGUAGCGGUGAAAUGCAUAGAUAUCACGCAGAACCCCGAUUGCGAAGGCAGCAUACCGGUGCACAACUGACGCUCAGGCACGAAAGCGUGGGUAUCGAACAGGAUUAGAUACCCGAGUAGUC
This 458-nucleotide ribosomal RNA is filed under the name uncultured bacterium. RNAcentral describes it as "partial 16S ribosomal RNA". It matches the Rfam family "Bacterial small subunit ribosomal RNA", at positions 338 to 795 of the family's 1533-position model. The record is from RNAcentral.